RNAcentral lists this ribosomal RNA (1430 nucleotides) under hot springs metagenome. Its description in RNAcentral is "bacterial LSU rRNA". It matches the Rfam family "Bacterial large subunit ribosomal RNA", at positions 965 to 2375 of the family's 2925-position model. The record is from RNAcentral.
AAGAAGGUAAUCACGGGAGACACACGGCGGGUGCUAACGUCCGUCGUGAAGAGGGAAACAACCCAGACCGCCAGCUAAGGUCCCAAAGUCAUGGUUAAGUGGGAAACGAUGUGGGAAGGCACAGACAGCCAGGAUGUUGGCUUAGAAGCAGCCAUCAUGUAAAGAAAGCGUAAUAGCUCACUGGUCGAGUCGGCCUGCGCGGAAGAUGUAACGGGGCUAAACCAUGCACCGAAGCUGCGGCAGCGACGCUUAUGCGUUGUUGGGUAGGGGAGCGUUCUGUAAGCCGUUGAAGGUGUCCUGUGAGGGGUGCUGGAGGUAUCAGAAGUGCGAAUGCUGACAUAAGUAACGAUAAAGCGGGUGAAAAGCCCGCUCGCCGGAAGACCAAGGGUUCCUGUCCAACGUUAAUCGGGGCAGGGUGAGUCGACCCCUAAGGCGAGGCCGAAAGGCGUAGUCGAUGGGAAACAGGUUAAUAUUCCUGUACUUGGUGUUACUGCGAAGGGGGGACGGAGAAGGCUAUGUCAGCCGGGCGACGGUUGUCCCGGUUUAAGCAUGUAGGCGGAGGUUCCAGGUAAAUCCGGUACCUUGUUAACGCUGAGGUGUGAUGACGAGGCACUACGGUGCUGAAGUGAUAAAUGCCCUGCUUCCAGGAAAAGCCUCUAAGCAUCAGGUAACACGAAAUCGUACCCCAAACCGACACAGGUGGUCAGGUAGAGAAUACCAAGGCGCUUGAGAGAACUCGGGUGAAGGAACUAGGCAAAAUGGUGCCGUAACUUCGGGAGAAGGCACGCUGAUAGGUAGGUGAAGUCCCUGCGGACGGAGCUGAAAUCAGUCGAAGAUACCAGCUGGCUGCAACUGUUUAUUAAAAACACAGCACUGUGCAAACACGAAAGUGGACGUAUACGGUGUGACGCCUGCCCGGUGCCGGAAGGUUAAUUGAUGGGGUUAGCGGCAACGCGAAGCUCUUGAUCGAAGCCCCGGUAAACGGCGGCCGUAACUAUAACGGUCCUAAGGUAGCGAAAUUCCUUGUCGGGUAAGUUCCGACCUGCACGAAUGGCGUAAUGAUGGCCAGGCUGUCUCCACCCGAGACUCAGUGAAAUUGAACUCGCUGUGAAGAUGCAGUGUACCCGCGGCAAGACGGAAAGACCCCGUGAACCUUUACUAUAGCUUGACACUGAACACUGGUCCUUGAUGUGUAGGAUAGGUGGGAGGCUUUGAAGCGUGGACGCCAGUCUGCGUGGAGCCAACCUUGAAAUACCACCCUUUAAUGGCUGGUGUUCUAACGUAGACCCGUAAUCCGGGUUGCGGACAGUGUCUGGUGGGUAGUUUGACUGGGGCGGUCUCCUCCCAAAGAGUAACGGAGGAGCACGAAGGUUGGCUAAUCCUGGUCGGACAUCAGGAGGUUAGUGCAAUGGCAUAAGCCAGCUUGACUG